This 3245-nucleotide small RNA is filed under the name Arabidopsis thaliana (thale cress). The record is from RNAcentral. Lineage: Eukaryota; Viridiplantae; Streptophyta; Magnoliopsida; Brassicales; Brassicaceae.
GGACAUUGUUUUCGAAUAUUUUGCAUGUAUCAAAGCUCUUAUAAACAAGAUAGGGUAUUCCUACAUAGCUGGUGGGACCCACGACAAAUAGAUCAUAAAGUAUUCAAAAAAGAAUAGAUACGAUUGCAAUGCAUGUAGUAACGGAUGCUAUCAUACUAGCACUAAUGCACCGGAUCCCAUCAGAACUCCGCAGUUAAGCGUGCUUGGGCGAGAGUAGUAUGAGGAUGGGUGACCUCCCGGAAAGUCCUCAUGUUGCAUCCCUCUUUUUUUCGGUUUUUCUCUAUUUUGUAUUGUUAAAGAUGUAUGACUCUAUACCUUUAAGACCGUGAGGCCAAACUUGACAUGUGAUACCAUUUCGGAAAUCCCAAAGAGAGCUCUCCGAUGAAAGAGGAAGGAAAAUGGAAUUCUUCUUUUGUUUUUUUUUCUACACCAAAUUUUGACCUUAAUGUACUUUUUCGAGCCUUUUCGUGAUCUUUGCUAUAUUACGGGGCGAAAAUUAUAUGUUCGGACAUUGUUUUCGGAUAUUUUGUAUCUAUCAAAGCUCUUAUAAAUAAGAUAGGGUAUUCCUACAUAGCUAGUGGGAUCCACGACAAAUGGAUCAUAAAGUCUUCAAAAAAGAAUAGAUACGAUUGCAUUCCAUGUAGUAACAUAUGCGAUCAUACCAGCACUAAUGCAUUGGAUCCCAUCAGAACUCCGCAGUUAAGCGUGCUUGGGCGAGAGUAGUACGAGGAUGGGUGACCUCGAGGAAUGUCCUCGUGUUGCAUCCCUCUUUUUUUUCUGGUUUUUCUCUUUUUUGUUUUUUUAAAAAUGUAUGACUCUAUAACUUUUAUACCGUGAGGCCAAACUUGGCAUGCCAUACCUUUUCGGAAAGCCCAAAGAGAGCUCUCCAAUGAAUGAGGAAGGAAAAUGGAAUUCUUCUAUUGUUUUUUUUUCUACUCAAAAUUUUGACCUUAAUGUACAUUUUCGGGCCUUUUCUUGAUCUUUGCAAUAUUACGAGGCAAAAAUUAUAUGUUUGGACAUUGUUUUUGAAUAUUUUGCAUGUCUCAAAGCUCUUAUAAACAAGAUAGGGUAUUCCUACAUAGCUGGUGGGACCCACGACAAAUAGAUCAUAAAGUAUUCAAAAAAGAAUAGAUACGAUUGCAAUGCAUGUAGUAACGGAUGCUAUCAUACUAGCACUAAUGCACCGGAUCCCAUCAGAACUCCGCAGUUAAGCGUGCUUGGGCGAGAGUAGUAUGAGGAUGGGUGACCUCCCGGAAAGUCCUCAUGUUGCAUCCCUCUUUUUUUCGGUUUUUCUCUAUUUUGUAUUGUUAAAGAUGUAUGACUCUAUACCUUUAAGACCGUGAGGCCAAACUUGACAUGUGAUACCAUUUCGGAAAUCCCAAAGAGAGCUCUCCGAUGAAAGAGGAAGGAAAAUGGAAUACUUCUAUUGGGUUUUGUUUUUACUCCAAAUUUUGACCUAAAUGUACUUUUCCGGGCCUUUUCGUGAUCUUUGCUAUAUUACGGGGUGAAAAUUAUAUGUUCGGACAUUGGUUUCCAAUAUUUUGCAAGUAUCAAAGCUCUUAUAAAAAAAUAGGGUAUUCCUACAUAGCUGGUGGGACCCACGGCAAAUGGAUCAUAAAAUCUUCAAAAAAGAAUAGAUACGAUUGCAUUGCAUGUAGUAACAGAUGCGAUCAUACCAGCACUAAUGCAACGGAUCCCAUCAGAACUCCGCAGUUAAGGGUGCUUGUGAGAGAGUAGUACUAGGAUGGGUGACCUCAAGGAAUGUCCUCGUGUUGCAUCCCUCUUUUUUUUUUCUGUUUUUCUCUUUUUUUGUUCUGUUAAAAAUGUAUGACUUUAUAACCUUUAGACCGUGAGGCCAAACUUGGCAUGCCAUACCUUUUCGGAAAGCCCAAAGAGAGCUCUCCAAUUAAUGAGGAAGGAAAAUGGAAUUCUUCUAUUGUUUUUUUUUUCUACUCCAAAUUUUGACCUUAAUGUACUUUUUCGUGCCUUUUCGUGAUCUUUGCUAUAGUACGGGGUGAAAAUUAUAUGUUCGGACAUUGUUUUCGAAUAUUUUGCAUGUAUCAAAGCUCUAAUAAACAAGAUAGGGUAUUCCUACAUAGCUAGUGGGACCCACGACAAAUGGAUCAUAAAGUCUUAAAAAAAAAUAGAUACGAUUGCAUUGCAUGUAGUAACGGAUGCGAUUAUACCAGCAUUAAUGCACCGGAUCCCAUCAGAAAUCAGCAGUUAAGCGUCCUUGGGCGAGAGUUGUACUAGGAUGGGUGACCUACAGGAAAGUCCUCGUGUUGCAUUCCCCUUUUUUUUCUCGGUUUUUCUCUUUUUUGUUUUGUUAAAAGUAUAUGACUCUAUAACUUUUAGACCGUGAGGCCAAACUUGGCAUGUGAUACCUUUUCGGAAAGCCCAAAGAGAGCUCUCCAACUAAUGAGGAAGGAAAAUAGAAUUCUUCUAUUGGUUUUUUUUUCUACUCCAAAUUUUGACCUUAAUGUACUUUUUCGGGCCUUUUAAUGAUCUUUGCUAUAGUACGGGGCGAAAAUUAUAUGUUCGGACAUUGUUUUCGAAUAUUUUGUAUCUAUCAAAGCUCUUAUAAACAAGAUAGGGUAUUCCUACAUAGCUGGUCGAACCCACGGCAAAUGGAUCAUAAAGUCUUAAAAAAAGAAUAGAUACGAUUGCAUUGCAUGUAGUAACAGAUGCGAUCAUACCAGCACUAAUGCACCGGAUCCCAUCAGAACUCCGCAGUUAAGUGUGCUUGGGCGAGAGUAGUACUAAGAUGGGUGACCUCGAAGAAUGUCCUCGUGUUGCAUCCCUCUUUUUUUUCAGUUUUUCUCUUUUUAUGUUUUGUUAAAAAUGUAUGACUUUAUAACUUUUAGACCGUGAGGCCAAACUUGUCAUGCCAUACCUUUUCGGAAAGCCCAAAGAGAGCUCUCCAAUUAAUGAGGAAGGAAAAUGGAAUUCUUCUAUUGUUUUUUUUUUCUACUCCAAAUUUUGACCUUAAUGUACUUUUUCGUGCCUUUUCGUGAUCUUUGCUAUAGUACGGGGUGAAAAUUAUAUGUUCGGACAUUGUUUUCGAAUAUUUUGCAUGUAUCAAAGCUCUAAUAAACAAGAUAGGGUAUUCCUACAUAGCUAGUGGGACCCACGACAAAUGGAUCAUAAAGUCUUAAAAAAGAAUAGAUACGAUUGCAUUGCAUGUAUUAACGGAUGCGAUUAUACCAGCAUUAAUGCACUGGAUCCCAUCAGAAAUCUGUAGUUAA